CCCACCCCUAAGGAGUGCAGACCUCUGUGUGUAGUUUUCUGAAUAACUCAUCUAGCCCAGUUUUAACACACAGAGGAUGGAUGCUGGAGGAACCAUGACUACAAGCAGUUCAGAAGCAGAGAAUACCUGGACAAAAGAAACUUUUCUGCUCCACUGUCAGCUUCUUACCAGCAACACUGAGAUCAGCUAGUAAGAACACAUGUUGACAAGGAUUUUAUAAUACAUUUUUCAGAGCAAUUUAAAGACCCAUGGAAAGAUAAAACUCAAGACACUGGUAUCACUGCAUCUUCUUGAACAGGAGCAGCUAAUGUUAAUCACAGGAUUAUUUGUGUUUGAGGACACUAGAACUAAAGACAUUCUGUGACAAAAAGUGUUGAAUUAUUAAUGCCAGAUCCCAGGCUGGUUUCAAAUGGCUGCUACAUUUACAAGGGUGAAGAAGAUCAUCUUCUUUCAUGUGGGUCAUUAAACUUCUGAAACCACUUCAGAUUCAUAUGUAGCUCUUUCAGAACCUUUGGAAAGAUAAUUUCCUUCUGAGGCCCACAUCCUUUAUCUGGACAUGCAGCUAAAGACUUAACCAUGUUUCUGGACAUCAUAUUCGUGAUCAUAUCAAAUGUUUGUUGCUCUGUGAGCCCUGAUGACAAUCUGGCAGUGAUGUAGCACUAACCCUUCCAUGAGACAUACCAACCAGAGAAGCUGAAAAGGUUGGUCUUAUACUGCUGCACACAAUGCAGACUUGCUGGAAAGAAGUGUGGCUGUAAAGCACAAUUGAAGUACAGCUAGAUUUAGAAAUUCUGCUAGUGUUGCAUUGUUUGAAACAGCAAUUCCCUGUGGUAUAAAGAAAAUUUAGAAAUUGGUUCUUUGUGCAGUCAAGCAAGAUCCUUUGAAGAGCAAAACACUCUUGGAAAAGAGAAGAAAAAGAGAAAAAAUGAAUGGAAGAACACAGAAUAAAAAGACCAAAAAUUAUAUAAAAGAGAAGAAAGAUGAACCAAAACCUUCUGAUUCUUAUGCCAUGGGCACAAUGCAGCUGUGGUGGUUACAGACUGGGAAAAUCUGCCAGAUUCCUAUGGUUUAUAAAGGGGGCAGUACCAAAUUACCAAACUGGCCAGCAACAUGGGGGUGUUUUGCCACAAACAUUGGGUGAAGGUUUUCCUUGGAAACUAGAAAAGAACAGGAAGUUAAUCACACUCUCAAGGUUAAUUUUUUUUCAUGUGGAGGAUGUUUUUGUCUCAACCUACUUUCAGUGCUUGACAAUUACUGAUCUAUGAGAGCCUCCAGCAGGGUUUUUCCAGUUCACAUUUACUUAAUACUUCAGAAGAGCCAGUGGCUGCAAGAACAGGCAUGAAGAAAAGCAGUUUUUCCUUUUGCAAAUCAUUAUAUUGAAGAUGGGUUUCAAUUAAGAUUCCACAUGAAAUUCUUUGUCUGAUAGACUGAUCUUUGAUG
Molecule: long non-coding RNA, 1440 nt
Organism: Vidua macroura (Pin-tailed whydah)
Lineage: Eukaryota; Metazoa; Chordata; Aves; Passeriformes; Viduidae
Exons: 3
Source: RefSeq, a predicted model, not a curated record